UUCGUCAGCUGGACUCUCGCCCUUUCUUCCUGUCGAAAUUGCUUGGUCCCUGGCCCAACGCAGCCCAGCAACGCUCUGCGCUCAAAGCUCUUCUGGACACCAUCGGACUUCGAUCGUUAUUGUGAAGGGGCUCGUUAUUUUAUUCCCCAUUCCAACCAGCAAUGGGGUAGAGUAUCGCCUGUGGCGAUGAAACUCCCCACUCUCCAAGGUCGAAAAUAAAGUUGCUGUUGUUGUUGUUUGCUACUAUGCAGGUGCGCUUGUGGGAGCUGCACGCGCAUGCCGACGGCGCGAGAAGAUAUCUGCUGCAGAGAUAUCGCCGAGGUGCGGCGAAAAUUGACAGGGUGCUGCAUCACCGCGCAUCCAGAGUUCGCAUCGCUGUGUCUGUCAGCCACCGUGCUAGAAGUUGUCGGCAUAGAGUACCGGAGGUACGGACUUUUGCUGGGCUAAAAAUGGGACGAGAUACUGCGUCACAUAGCAUAUCGUCAUUUCACUUCCUGGACAUGGGGGCCUCUUCCUCCGGAGGAUAGGCGAGUGCUUCCAUCAUGCGUGGUAACGGCGAUACGAAAGGCCUUCCCUUCACGAUCUGCUGCAGCUGCAGGGGCUUUAGAUCUGCAAAAUAAAUAUGGUCACCACAGGUGGUGGUGGUGGUCAUGCACUGUCC
This is a long non-coding RNA of Ornithodoros turicata, 661 nucleotides long. RefSeq lists it as uncharacterized. The transcript has 2 exons. The record is from RefSeq and is a predicted model, not a curated record. NCBI's taxonomy places the organism in Eukaryota, Metazoa, Arthropoda, Arachnida, Ixodida, Argasidae.